This 1523-nucleotide long non-coding RNA is filed under the name Nicotiana tabacum (common tobacco). RNAcentral's name for it is "long non-coding RNA (NTAB_LNC011794)". The record is from RNAcentral. Lineage: Eukaryota; Viridiplantae; Streptophyta; Magnoliopsida; Solanales; Solanaceae.
AUAUCCCCAAAGUAAACGCCCAUGUUUUUCACCAUUGUAUUUGCUUAGACUAGAAAAACCACUUUUCAGCUAGCUAGCUAGCUCUUUGUUUCACUUGUUUUUCCCGAUAUCAGUUGCUUCCCUUUUGGUAGAUUCACGUUAAUCAACUUGUCACAUGCAACAAAGUACGUUUAAGUUUCACUUUUACCAAGAUUAAUUGGCUGUGUCUUUUAAUAUAAACCCAAUCAAAACCUCAAGUCCACAAACAGAACAUCAAAAACCCCACCUCCCCACAAGGCACUUAACUUCGAUCAGUUUUGAACAACUCUUUCUUUCCCUGAGAGCUUUCUGCUAAGUCCACACCCAGAAACAACCUGUAUGAGUUUUGAUUAAUGUCAAUAAUGGUAUGACAUUCUUCUUCUCCUUAUUGUUCUUGAACAUUAUUUAGUCUUAAUUCUAUGUGAUGUUUCCGUUGUCUGAAGCAGUGGCGCGGCCACAUAGGCUCAAAGAUAGCCGGUUGAAUAUAUACGUUAAAUACAUCUUUUAUACAUAUAUAUUAUAUCUAGAACAACCUUGAAUGCUCUUAGCGAAAUUUCUAAUUUCGCACUGAUCUGAAGUUGGGGAUUUAGUUUUGAGUUAACUCUUAUAGAGUGAAAGUGCAAAAGAAUUUUAUGCUAAUUAAUUGAUAAUUAUAGAAAACUAUUUAAAAUAAAACAGGAUUAUUAAAAUACAUUGAUAGUGUUUACGUAUAUAAAAUCUUUUAGUGAAGGGGAGCCUUGGAGUGACCGGUAAAAUUACUGUCAUGUAAUCAGGAGGUAACGGGUUCGAGCUGUGGAAACAGUCUCUUACAGAAAUACAGGGUAAGGAUGCGUACGAUAGAAUCUUGUGGUCCGGCCCUUCCCCGGACCCCGCGCAUAGCGGGAGCUUAGUGCACCAGACUGCUUUUUUUUAAAGUUCAAAAUGUUUAUUUGCUUUUAUUUUUAACUAGAAAUUAAAUUGUUGUAUUGCAGUGUGUCACGGCAAUGAUGUUUGGAUCAGUAGCAAGAACAAUGACCGCAUUGAUGGUUCAGCCGGCUUCCACCUUAACAACAUUGUUGUACUACAGUGAUCUCCUCCCUCGGAACCUGAAUUUGGACCGGUUGGUUCGUAGGGACUUGGUUGGUGGUGGAAACUACAUCUUUCAUUUUCUCAUUCAUUUUUUGAGAUGUUUUUGGUAGUCAUUUUCAUUUUCAAUUAACUAAUUUCAUCUCUAACCUCUCUUUUUUUCUUGUCUGUCUUUUUCUUUUUUUUUUGGAGACCUUUAGUUCAGUGUAAGAUGAUUGAAAAUAAAAUUCUCUUGUCUCUCGGAACUCUAUAUAUGACUCAUCUUGGGAUUUUUUUUACAUAAUUAAGAAAUAAAGCAUCUAGCGGAGGGGUGAUUUGUACAAGCGACUAUUGAUUUUUUAAUCUUACUUUUUCCAUGGGCAUAACGACAAGUUCAACAAGUAUUACCUCUCGCUUACCUUACGGGCAACAUUUUGACUUUUAACCUCAAAGGUCUGCAC